Molecule: unclassified non-coding RNA, 181 nt
Filed under: soil metagenome
Description: partial internal transcribed spacer 1
Source: RNAcentral
CCGAGUGCGGCCCCUUCGGGGUGCCAACCUCCCACCCGUGUCUACGUACCACGUUGCUUCGGCGGGCCCGCCCCCAACCUUGGGGGCCGCCAUGGGGCUUCGGCCCCCGUGCGAGCGCCCGCCGGAGACCACACGAACGCUGUCUGAAGACUGCCGUCUGAGUGGAUUUUCAAAUCAGUCA